This 407-nucleotide ribosomal RNA is filed under the name uncultured bacterium. RNAcentral describes it as "partial 16S ribosomal RNA". It matches the Rfam family "Bacterial small subunit ribosomal RNA", at positions 30 to 526 of the family's 1533-position model. The record is from RNAcentral.
AUUGAACGCUGGCGGCAGGCCUAACACAUGCAAGUCGAACGGAGUGGCGGACGGGUGAGUAAUGUCUGGGAACCCGCCCGUUGGAUGGGGAUAACUACUGGAUACGGUAUCUAAUACCGCAUACUAUCAGAUGAGCCUAGGUCGGAUUAGAUAGUUGGUGGGGGAAAGGCCUACCAAGGCGACGAUCCGUACCUGGUCUGAGAGGAUGAUCAGUCACACGGGAACUGAGACACGGUCCAGACUCCUACGGGAGGCAGCAGUGGGGAAUAUUGGACAAUGGACGAAAGCCUGAUCCAGCCAUGCCGAGUGUGUGAAGAAGGUCUUCGGAUUGUAAAGCACUUUAGGUUGGGAGGCGUUACCAACAGAAUAAGCAACGGCUAACUACGUGCCAGCAGCCGCGGUAAUAC